GUGCUAUUAGCUCAGUCGGUAGAGCAUCAGAUUGUGGCUCUGAGGGCCGAGGGUUCGAGUCCCCCAUAGCACC
Molecule: transfer RNA, 73 nt
Filed under: Bacteroidota bacterium
Lineage: Bacteria; Pseudomonadati; Bacteroidota
Also listed under: 1 other name
Description: tRNA-His
Rfam family: tRNA
About the family: Transfer RNA (tRNA) molecules are approximately 80 nucleotides in length. Their secondary structure includes four short double-helical elements and three loops (D, anti-codon, and T loops).
Source: RNAcentral